GGAUGAGCUUGCGGAGCUCAGCGAAGGCGGUGUUGACGUUGUGCUGGCGCCAGCGCUCCCUCGUGUUGGUGAAAACCUUCCUGGUCAUGGUGGAUUACAGAAAAACCUCCCCCCACGAUUUUCAAGAAACUUGGUAGAAGGGUGAAGCAUGGGCUAAUGAAGAACCUUAACAUUUUGGAGCGGAUCCAACACACAGGCCUGGCAUGGACAGCCCACCGUACCCUGCACCAUGGAAAAGACCUUGAUAUCACUGCCUGCUCUGCUAUUGAAUUCAGCCUGAUUGGGCCACAAAAGCUGGUUUUAAAAGAAAGAACCAGGAGUGAGGCUGCAGUCACACAUACACAUAUGCAGGUGAUGAUCAUCACCUGAAGAGGUGAAAUGUGGGCAGUACAAGAUGUGACAAAUGAAAUGAAAAAUGUGAAUUUGC
Centropristis striata (black sea bass) is the source of this 427-nucleotide long non-coding RNA. RefSeq lists it as uncharacterized. The transcript is spliced from 4 exons. The record is from RefSeq and is a predicted model, not a curated record. Lineage: Eukaryota; Metazoa; Chordata; Actinopteri; Perciformes; Serranidae.